Long non-coding RNA from Chelonia mydas (Green sea turtle), 679 nucleotides. RefSeq lists it as uncharacterized. The record is from RefSeq and is a predicted model, not a curated record. The transcript is spliced from 3 exons. NCBI's taxonomy places the organism in Eukaryota, Metazoa, Chordata, Testudines, Cheloniidae.
UUAAAUUUAAAAGGGAGAGAGAGAGAGAGAAAUUUAGGUGAAAUCCCUUUUAAAACACUCAGUUGUAAUCUCCCAUUCACAGCUGCUGCCAAUACUGACCUUUCAACUGUGUCAUUUAUAUGAAGUGUUUUGCGUAAGGGAUAAACAUCAGUUCUACAGAAAUGCCCAGUUAGCAAGAAUUAGGAUUAUAUUUAAUGAGGAUUUGAUUACCAUGAAACUGUGAAGUAUGUGUGUGCAUGUGUGUGCAAGGAACAGUUUUCCCAUGAAUAAGUGCAAUUUGCAGUAUUUUGCUGGAGAGGUCUAUGGUGGCUUUUCUUCAAAAGGAUGCUGUGACAGAUAUGGCAAGUUCCUGCAACAUCCUGGCAAACCUUAUUGAAUUAAGUUUAAGUAUUUUAGGAGUUCAUUGCAUUAAAAAUCCAAAUAUUACUGUGGACCGUAUGUAACUUCUCUAAGAGCCAUGACGAAUGUAAAUCUUAGGAAAUGUUACGAGCUUCAAAGGAGUCUUUGAAACAAUGUGCUAGCUCAAUAAACAAAGGACCAGACCAGAGACCCAAAGUGGAUAAAAGAGUGACUCAUAAAUUCAUGGGUGUGUUUGUUCUGAGCUAAUGGCUGUUAUGAACUUGUGACUGCAGAAAAAUCCCUUGGUGAUGGAUUUUAACGUUCACUGGCCAGAGCCCUG